Molecule: ribosomal RNA, 554 nt
Filed under: Streptomyces djakartensis
Lineage: Bacteria; Bacillati; Actinomycetota; Actinomycetes; Kitasatosporales; Streptomycetaceae
Description: bacterial SSU rRNA
Rfam family: Bacterial small subunit ribosomal RNA
Source: RNAcentral
AAAACUCAAAGGAAUUGACGGGGGCCCGCACAAGCGGCGGAGCAUGUGGGCUUAAUUCGACGCAACGCGAAGAACCUUAACCAAGGGCUUGACAUACACCGGAAAACCCUGGAGACAGGGUCCCCCCUUGUGGUCGGUGUACAGGUGGUGCAUGGCUGUCGUCAGCUCGUGUCGUGAGAUGUUGGGUUAAGUCCCGCAACGAGCGCAACCCUUGUCCCGUGUUGCCAGCAGGCCCUUGUGGUGCUGGGGACUCACGGGAGACCGCCGGGGUCAACUCGGAGGAAGGUGGGGACGACGUCAAGUCAUCAUGCCCCUUAUGUCUUGGGCUGCACACGUGCUACAAUGGCCGGUACAAUGAGCUGCGAUACCGCGAGGUGGAGCGAAUCUCAAAAAGCCGGUCUCAGUUCGGAUUGGGGUCUGCAACUCGACCCCAUGAAGUCGGAGUCGCUAGUAAUCGCAGAUCAGCAUUGCUGCGGUGAAUACGUUCCCGGGCCUUGUACACACCGCCCGUCACGUCACGAAAGUCGGUAACACCCGAAGCCGGUGGCCCAACC